UUUUUUAUAAAAGUAAUUUAUUUAUUUAAGGUUUUAGUAUUAAUUAAAAAUUAAUUUUUAGAUUUAUAGUUUAAUAGUAUUGUAAAAGAAUUAAUUAUAUUUAGAAAAGAAUAACUUUAAGUACCUUUUGUAUCAGGGUUGAUUAAAAUUUUUAAUUUUUUUUUAAUUUCUCAACAUUUAUAGAGUUAAUUUUAUUAUUAAGUUAUUGUAUUAUAAAUAUUUAUAAAAUAAUUUUGGUUUUGAAAUUUAAUUCGUUAUAAUAUAUUUAGUUAUUUAAGAUUUAAAUUUAAUUUAUAAUUUUAAAAGUUAUAUUGAUUUUAUAUAUAAAUAUUUUAAAUUUAAAUUAUUUUAGGGAUAAGCUUGAAAUUUUUAUAUAAUAAUUUAUUUAUUUUAAUAAUUUAUAGGAAUAGAAAUUUUUAUUUAAAGUUUGUAAAAAUUUAUUAUUUAUUUUUUUUUAAUUUAUUAUAAAUUUAUUUAUUUUUUAUAUUAAAUUUUAUUAAUUAAUAUUUAAUUUUUAGUAAUAAUGAUUAAAUUAGUAUAAUUUAAAUUUAUAAAUUAUGAAUUCGGCAAAAAUUAUUUUCAUCUGUUUAACAAAAACAUUGUAUUAAGAUUAAUUUAAUAUAGGAUCUGCUCAAUGAUUUAUUAAAUAGCUGCAGUAUUUUGACUGUGCAAAGGUAGCAUAAUAAUUAGUCUUUUAAUUGAGGACUUGUAUGAAAGAUUUGAUGAGAAAUAAACUUUAUUAUUUAUAAAAUUAAAAUUUUAUUUUUAAGUAAAAAAGCUUAAAUUAUUUAAAGGGACGAUAAGACCCUAUAAAACUUUAUAAAUAUUGAUUUUACUUUUUUUGGAUUUAUAACUAUUUUAAUUUUUUUAUUUAUUUUAUUGGGGUGAUAAAAAAAAUUAUUAAACUUUUUUUAAAUUUUUACAUCAUUUAAUGAAUAUUUGAAUUAAAAUUUUUAAUUAAAGGAAAAAGUUACUUUAGGGAUAACAGCGUAAUUAAUUUUUUAAGUUCAAAUUUAAAAAUUAGUUUGCGACCUCGAUGUUGAAUUAAGAUUAAUCUUAGGUCCCAAAUUUUAAGUAUUAGGUCUGUUCGACC
This 1093-nucleotide ribosomal RNA is filed under the name Megoura lespedezae. Its description in RNAcentral is "partial 16S large subunit ribosomal RNA". The record is from RNAcentral. Lineage: Eukaryota; Metazoa; Arthropoda; Insecta; Hemiptera; Aphididae.